UAUCAUAUUUUUCACACCAGAGAUGUCAAAAAUCUUAUUUCAGAUAGAAAAUAUCUAUUAUAAGCUUUGAACACAGUAUUAAACAACAUUGUAUACCAAGGCAAUCUUGAGAAAAGAACAGAAUUUAAGACAUACUAUGGAGUCACAGUGAUCAAAACAAUGUGAUAAUGCCAUGAGGCCAUGUUUGUGGAUCACAAGUGUAGAUCAUACAGCCAGUCACUAAAUGCUUCAUACAUGGUCAAAUGACUUUUCACAAGGAAAUCAUUACUAUUAGUCCAGCAAAGUAAAGUAACUCAACUUGUAAUUCCAGGGAAAAUAGAUAAUCAUUGGUUAAAGAAAAGACUUGGACCUGUUAACAUAUUAAAUUUAGUUUAAGCAAAUCAGAAUUUAGGUAUAAGAUAACGCAACACUUAGAAGUUGGGGAAUCAUCUUGCAUAUAUAGGAUUUGAUGACUAUUACUUGACUAGGACAUCAAAAGAAGACAUAAAUAUCUGAAGAAAGUGUGUGAAAGGCCUCAAAUAACAGAACACAAAACUUGAACAGAUGUCUUCCAAAGCUGCAAAUCAGUAUCCAAAAGAAAAUGUCAUCGUUCAUUUUAGUUACCACACAGGAGGAUAGCAUUUUGGAAUCAACAGGAUCAAUAACUCACACAUGCACGAACACACACACACACACACACACACACACACACACACACACACGCAUAUUGGUGGAAUGAGAAUGAAUGAUAUGUUUUGAGCACUGUUGGUAGGAAUCCAGAAUUUGAUAUUAAUAUAUACUGUUGGGCAGAGUAUAGUGGUUCUUCAAAAGCUAACAGCAUCUCCUCACAAUACACCAACACUGAAGUUAAGAUUCCACAGUGAUUAAAAAGGACAUAUGAGCUGAUAUUAAUAUCCCAUUUACAGCAGCCUUUUCUACAAAAAAAUAGGCUAUAACCAAAGCAUCUUUCAGCAAAGACAUGGUACAGCUAAACAUAGUGCUUGUGUGGGCAAGUGUCACUCAGCACAGUGAAGGAGUUAGAAUUGCACACAGUGUAACAUCAUUGGCAGCAUCCCAACUAAAGUGAGUUAGACAGAAAAGAAAAUAGAUGAUGUGCUUCCACUUACGAUCAAAUAAGUGAUUCUACCAUAAAAAUACAGUAUCUGUGAGCAAGGAGAAGGCAUGGAAUGGGAGCCUUCAUUAUUUAGUGUUUUGGGAAAAGAGAAAAACUUUCAGAAUGAGUGCUUUUUUUUUGAACAUUGUGACUAUAUGUCAUGUUAUUGAAUUUAAAACAUUUUUUAAAAGAAAUAUGCACAUAUUUGGACACAACAAAUUACAUUAACUGGAAAGUAAGAAUAUUUAAUAAUAUGUGUCAUUUAUAAUGUGUUAUUUAGUGACUAAGGAGUAACUAAACAUGUUAAAAUCAUCCCCACUAUAAAACAGAGACAAAUGUUGAUGACUUCCUAAAGUUUAUGCUGUAAGAAGAUGUGGGAUGGAGGUGGGAGGCAUUGUAUAUUUGAAUCCAUAAACUUCAUCCAUUGAAGGAAAUUUUGAUGGGAUAUGUCAGCUCUUCAAUAUGGCUAAGUUAUUGGUUAUUGAGAAAGUGUAAUGGUAAUGUUAUCAUACCUUAGUCUAGUUAGAACAUCCUUUGAUAACCUAUAGUGUUUUCCUAUAUGCUAUGAAAACUCACUCUGAGUUUAGACUUUAAUUCAAUAUCUAAAGUAGAGAUGAUCAAACUUCUAUGUUAUUGGUUCUACUUUUUUCUGUAGCAAGGUCUUUCUUAAAUGUAUUGUGAUCUCCACAGAUUCAGUACAAGUUUGCCUCAGGAGAUAAGAGAAUCACAUCUCCAUAUUCCCAUUAAUUACUUUUAGGACCUUUCAAAUGACCUUCUUACAAGGGAUACCCACACUAAUUUUUAAAUGAAUUAAAGCCCACAUUUAUAUGUCUUAAAAUCUGUCUGUAGUGAUCAAUUUUAACUAUGAACUUGAUGAAGAGGAAGCCUGAGAAAAUAGUCAAGUCUGGGUACAGGAAGGCUCAGUUCUACACAAUGAUGUAGAUGAAAUGAUGAAAGUAUGAUUUAAUGGAGGUGCAACUUUAUUAAAAUAGACUCCUAGAGGCUGGUUCUUACCUUAGACCUUUCUGUUGUUGAUGCUUGACCUCUGUCUACCAGAGUGUAUAUUGCUAUGCCCUGAGGUACCCUUCCCAAAGCAGCCCUGUUCCUCUGUGCCUUUCUCCAUUACCCUUUCUCCCUUUGUGCUUUUUCCCCUGAUGCUCUUUCCAACUGGGUCUGUUAGGAUGAUGCUCUGUGUCAUGGUGACUUUCACUUUUGGCAUUCUGCUCUCAUUUUGGCCUCCCACUGAAUUCCCUGCUCCUAAGUCACUUUGCCUAUAAGGCGCUGCUACACUACACAAAUAUGGACACUGUUGUAGAACACCGAGUCAUCUGAAACAAAAUAAAAUCUUGAUCCCUUGAGUUCGUCUGUAAGGAAUUUUUGAAAGCUGCAAAUGUUCUCAGUAACACACACCUCCAUCCAAGCUUCUGGCCACAUUCCUGGCAGUAUCUAUCUCCGAGGCUGCAUUUCCCAGAAUCAUUAGCAACGUUUCAAAGCAAUGUUGUCUCAGUAGAGGCUAUUUCCUCAAUGUACAAUAGGAAAUGUGACUUCUUUCCUCUUUGUGAGAACAGUCAGAUGCCAUUUCUGCAGUGCAGAUGACUCGUGCAUCCUGUGCCAUUUGAUAUUUCUCUCUGUUCUCUAGUUGGGUGGCUCAGAUUCUUAAUUAAACGAUUUAUCUCCACAGCAGCAUUUAUAACACAAAUAUUUGCAUGUGUAGAAUGAAGGAGAGCAGGGCAAGAGGUACAUGCAAUCUGCUUCAAACCGGAUAUGGAAACAGUCCACUAAUCUUUUUUUGAAGCUUGGUGGAGUUUCAUAUUCCCCUUUAAAUGUGGAUUAAACAAAGUUGUCCAGAAAGCAUAUGCUUUUAUAUAAAACAUUCCAAUUAUAAGGAGGAUGAAAACAAUUUGAAAAAUGUGUACUGACUCCAUCGGAAGAAGAGCUGGCAUGCUCUGGCUUCUGCGGGCAACCCUUAUAUGUGGGUAGAUGAAGACAUCAUAGGAAGUGAUGGACUGGGUUUGAUGCUGAAAGUGUCAUACAGGAUUAAAGAUAAAGCCUGCAAUGAAAGUACAGUUUGUUAAAAAACUGGUGAAUUGGGACAACAUGGGAAAUUUCUAGGUUUUGAGGCUUGUGAUCAGUCAUGGUGCAGCUGACUCCGAGUUUAUUGAAGAGUCUCUCCAGCAAAUGCUUACUUGUAGUCAGAUGGGUCAGCAGCUGACAUAUUAUACCCCCGGUUUUUAAGCUUAAGCCUCCAAAUCUCUGCAUUUAAAUUGAAUUGUUCUAUGUCACAGAGCCCUCUGAGUUCAUAAGGUAGAGGAGGGAGGACAAAGACUUCUGCAUCCUGUCAUGGAUGCUGCAGGAACUUGCCUUCUCCACAGGGUACAUUCUAAAUUGCCACUAACCCUGAGGGUGUCUCUUAAAGGUCUUGGGUUUGGAGUGAUAUUAUAGUUUAGCAAAUGCUGAGGGAGUAAUUGUUUUACUCAUAUAGCAGAAACAUAAUGGUGUAAUUCUUUCUAAACUGCUGCCUUGGGGUAUGUGAGACACUCAUUUCAUCAUCCUGAAACUCAGUUGAUUUGUUUAUCAAUAAUAUGCCUACCCUAGGUUUUUCUCAAAUGUGUUUGUAUGGAAAAAUAAAAUAUGCAUGGAUAUAUGAAAAUAAUCUGAUAAAUUAUGUAUUGUCCUUUGCAGUGGACAGUGAUAAAAGAAGUAUCUACAAACGACCUUGCAGAAUCUUAGCUCAACAAUCCUUUGAAUAAAGCGAUCAUCUUCUCAUUUACUGAGAGGAAAUAAAGACUGAGAAUCACAACAGCUUGUCCUGGAUUACUGCAUUAGUUCAUGGUGCAAAAGGAAAUAGAGCUCACUUGUUUGUAUUUGCGAUCCUUCUGUGUGGUCAUCUGCCAUUAAUAAUGGAGUGACACUUUUCUCAGCAGUCCUCAUUUCUAAUAUACUGAAUAUCAAAACCCUUUUCUUGAUAUAUCAUUCUGUCAAAUAGAUUGGUGGACAAAGAGUAAAACUGGAUGAUGUGCAAGUCAGAAAAUAUUCUAUUAGAAUCUAUAUUUCUCCUUUGCUCUGUGAUACAAUGUAGUUGCAUUAAAUGAGUCAUUAAUCCAGAAGGAAUUAGAGCCUAGAAUUCUGUUAACACUCUGAAAUUGAGUGAUACAUCCAAACUCUGCUAAGAUUGUUCAAGUGAUUUACAAAUCAUACACGUAUGUGCAAGCUAGAAAGGUCUACCCCAAGGUCUGUAAAGAGUAAAUGGCUACCUGUAGAUGUUCAGAAGUGUUCUUUAUGUAUCCAGUGCUAUGAGGACAGCAGAUCUACUCUUGUGACUCAGUAUACUAAAGUCUUUCUGAGUGUAACUAUGGUUAUCUUAGUCUUUCAUGAACACUCAGUCCUGCCUAGAGUCACUUACAAAGAACUACCUUUUCUUAUGAAUUUUAUCAUUAGGAUAUAUCCUGUUUGCUUUCCUUGAAGAUGAUAUUGUUUGUAACUCUGAGAAAUUCUUUGCUGUACUCCUGGAGACUCUCUUGUGUUUCCAUACCCUUCCUAUGGUCUUUGUAUGAGACCACACACACACACACACACACACACACACACACACACACACACACACAUGUUUGUGUGUUUAUGUGUGCGUUUAUGUGUCUGUGUGUGUGUCAGUGUGUGUCUGUGUGUAUCUGUGUAUGCCCCAGUCCCUAUCAUCUGAAAAUAAGAAAUCUUCUUGUUAGCAGAUAAAGUAUCAGUUCAUUUUGUAAUCCACACAUUCAAGGCAUUGCCUGGAUAUAAACAAAUUUUGACUCACAAAUAAAUGGUUAUCAUCUAAGAAAGUGUUGGUCUAAGGCAUCUUAUGAUUGAAAUGAUAUUGCAACCAAAAAUAUUGCAUGUUUCUAAACAAGGUCAGUUUUUAAAAUGCCUAAGUGUGUACCCAGUAAAUCAACAGGCCAUAUCAUGUAUUCUGAUUAGACACAAAAUUUCUUACAGGAAAAUAUAGAAUAAUAAAAGCAUACCAUGGUAGUUCACUGGAUGAUACCAAAACAGGUUCCAGAAUUGAAACUCAUGCCGCCUAUUUUCUUGUCUUGAUUGCACUGCCCAUGUGGCCCUGAGGACCUCAGUAUUAUGAGAAAGCAGAAUCACAGAUUCUGGCCUGCUCCAAAUCUGUGCAGGUCUAUGAAUUGCUGGUAAAAAAAAUAUCUUACGGCUCAGUGGACAUUUUCUUGAUUUACUAUAUCUUUAUAACUUGAGUCUUAGAGUUUACAGCAGGUCUUAAAAUACUAUUUCAAGACAUACUGUGACACUAGAGUACAUGGCCUUUAGGGAUUCAAACUGAAGUCAACCCAUUGGCCUUUAUUGGUACUUAGUAUGAGCACUAUAUUGUCUUAAACAUAGUGAACAUUGCAAAAAUAAAAUGAAGUCUAAUCAUAAGUGCUCUAAAAUCUAAUUGGAGAAGUAAUAAAGACAAAAACAAAAAGAACCUGAUGGGAUAAAAGGAAAAAGUUCUAGGACAUUGCCCAUGAUUGAUGGUUAUAAAACACCCUGCAACCUAUGUGAUGUUGGGACAUUGAGAAUGGUGGGACAGUGAUGUCAUGAAUUUACUUGGGGCACUUAAGACCUGCAGGAGUGUGGGAGAAGUUUCCAGCCAAUCUUGGACCUUCACACGUGCGCGGCACAUUGAAGGGGCAGAGAAAGGCAGAAUCAGAUCACAGUAUGGAUGGAGCUCUUCCCAAAAUGAGAAUCUGUUUAAGAAAAUGGUGACAGAAGCAGGGAUUAGUCUUAUAGACAUCUGGGAACUCUAUGGCAUAGAGGUGACGUUACAAAGUUAGAACAGAGCACCACUUAGCAACGAGACCUCUCCUUCCAAAGUAAUGGGCUAAAGGAGUCUUAAGGUCAGAAUGGCAGGUUUGUCCCACCCGGAGUAUGGGAACUGAUGAAUCAGAUUAUGCUCUCAUUGAAGUAAUAUGAGUCAGACUUGCAUUUUUAUUAUCUAGCUGAUGCAUUGUCACUCUUGUUUAUGCCCGCACUUUCUGCUUGUGCCCAUCCCUGCAAAUCAAUAAGCAAAGAGCUUUACCUGUGGUACAGCUAUCCUACCUAAAAGCAGCAAACUUCCACAUGAAUGCUACCACACUAUGCCUUGUUUCUUUCGCUGGUUUUCUACGUUCACACCAAGGACAUUUCUUGUCUGCUUUCUUUGUUCUGGAAGACCUUUCACUCUGCAAACAAUACCUCAUCCCAGGAAGAGGAUUACACGGGUGGAUGUGUUUUGUUUCUGUGUAGCCCAAAUUUUAGGCUUUUAUCUGAAAAACUGAAAGGAAAGAGGACAUUCAUCUCCUCUAUCUAGAACUAUAGUGAUGUUUUAACCCACUGAAAUUUAGAUUUAUCUAAAUUAGAUUCAGUUAAAUCCUCUCCUCUGUCAUCCGUGUUAGAAAACACGCAGGCUUGCUUCCUAGUUGAUGAAAGAGCUGAGAUUUGAAGUGUGGUUCUUUAUUGCCCCAGCUUCCAUUCCCACCUCCUCCAAACAGUCCACCCCACCUCACUCUGACAUGCUCACCCAUCCUUGACAGGGAGGUGGCCCAACCUCAAUACAGCAAGCAUGGAGGGAAAGAUGGGAAGCUUAGAGCUAAUAUUAAUGAGCUGCUUCCCUGGGACACCAUGUAGGUUUAGCAGCGAUUUUCCUCAAAUGGGGUAUGAUCGAGAAUUUGUAGAAGUUUAUUCUUAGCUCUUCCCUUGGCUUCUGCAACAUGUUAACAGCUUGUGCAUUUUGUAAUGCCUUUUUCUCAUUGCCAUGGUAACCAUUAAAACUUAAGGUAUAUGUGACUGGAGAUCUGGCCCAGACAUUGGUUACUGGCAUACUGGAAGGCAGUACAAAUGGAACUACACCUGGCAGGUUCUUAUUGCAGGCGUGUCUAGCUGAGAGGGAAUAUACAAAAUCUUUAAAUAGGAAAAUAUUACCCAACAGUUAUUCAUUUCAGAAAGACAAAGCAGUGGCGUCUUUUUAUUGAGUAAAUUCUUUAACUGGCUUCACCCUGGAUUAUUUCAUAAUUUGAAGGAAUGUUCUUGGAACCUCAGCCCUGAGUUAUUGGACUAGAGAAAAGGGUUACAUAAUUACUUAUAGAUCUAGAUGCUACCUAGACCUCUCCAUAUUUUUAUUUGUUUGUUUAUGUUGAAUAGCGAAUGGCUGGCUAUAUCAAGAUGGCAUAGUAAGUGAUUAACUCUUAACAAAUUCAGUUGAAGUUAAGCAAAUCCAGUUACAUAUGAUAACCCUAAGAUUACACAAACAAGCUGCAGAGCCCGGCAGGAAGAGCAGACGAACAGGAGCAUACAAACUGCAGUUCUGCGAAGGUUGGUGGCUGUUCAUCGGAGCUUGUUUCUAGUCCAUUUCCCUUUUACUGUUUCAGGACGUCUUGUUCUUUUCAGCAUCAACAUUGUGCUGCAGGAGGAGUUUGUGUGCAGUUUGUAGGAGGAGUUUAAAUCCAUGAAGUGAAAUUCAGAUGUUAAUGUAUGUCUUGAAAGAGCAUGUGAAAAAUUAAUUAGGAAUAAAGUAGUGAAAAGAUGAACAAUUCUUGUGUUAGAAAGGUGACUCGUGAACUUGAUUGUCAGGAGGUUCUGAGGGUCCUGUUUGCAUUAUCUGCUGCAAGUCCGGAAGAGAAUCAGCUGAUUGCACUGUCGCCAGGAACAAUGUUUCUCAACAUGCUACUUUUUUGUAUGGUUCACAGGAAUAACUAAUGUGAUUAUUCAGUGUAGGGCAGUGUGUAUAUUUGAUGGAGAAACUCUGAAGCCCUAGCUGAAGAUGAUAUUUUGUUGAAAAUAUUGAAAUUCCUUAGAAGUAUGCAAAUCUUUCCUGGUUCAUAUGUAAGUGACAGCCACUCCCAGUCUAAGGUGAGGAUAACGGAUUUGCACUGAGCUCCUGACAGGGUUUGAUUCAAUGAAAUAUUUAAAACGGGGAAAAAAUAGGCUCCAAAAUACAGGAGUAUGAUGGAAAGCAUACAAACCACAGAAUCCUGUCUCAUAAUGAAGGAUUUCAGGCACAGUGUUUCUUCCCCUCCUGGCCCUUUAUGGUACAGUUGUUAAAUCCAGAGUCCUGGCUCUAAGACAAAACAACGGACACACUCAUUAUCCCUCUGGGGACACUGUAUGUGGAUGAGACACCUCUUCCACUGUUGCCUUUCCCAGAGAUGGCCUCCCAGUGUGGUCAGUGGGUUUCCUUCUCAGGAGCUGGCAGGUGUUUCCUUAAUCAGGACUCGUACUCACGUGAGACACGAAGCACAGCAUUUUGUGAGAUUCUGCCUUGAUUCUGAAACUGGCAGAGCCACCCUUUUCUUGACAAUUGUAUUAGAACAAGAGUGAUUUUAGCAGUGUCCAAGUUUCCCUAACUGACCAGGCAAAUACCCAGCGUGGCAGACCAUUGAACUUAGCCAUAAAACAGAAAAUGUCUACUCACCAAUGUGUAGUUAGUUAAGGGAACUCUGAUGACGUAGAUCUGGAAGAAGCAAAGCCAGUAUUAUAGAGUUGAAAGGGCAUGGAGCAGCUGACCAUAGGUGCAGUUCUGACAUGCUUUUUUGGUGAAUGGACCUGUCAAUCAUCCUGACUACUACAAACACCAGGACACAAGGAUGUAGUCACAUAGCAUAUUCCUAGACACAUAUAGCACACAAUUACACCACACACACACACACACACACACACACACACACACACAAAUCAUACACAGUGUACAGAAUGAUACACUAAACACAGUCCACAUACUUAGAUAUAUAACUACACAUGCACAAAUCUUGGCAUAUAUGGUUACAAAAACACACACCUAUAUUACAUGUACACCACAUCCACUUAGAGACACACUCCCCACACAGCAUAAACAUAAACUCACAGAUACAGCAUACUCAUAGACACAAAAAACACAGCAAAUGUCUAGACACACAGCAUAAAACUAUACAUAUAUUAAACAUACAUCACACACCUAGGAACACUCUAUGCACACAACACAAGUGUAGACAUGUAGUGUAAACUCACAGUAUCUAACAAGAGAGAUACUACACACACAUACCACAUAAUUACACACAUGCAUAUUAUACACAACAUAUGUAAGUCAUUCCUUAGAGACACACCAUGCAUCUAAAUAUACACACUACAUCACACAUACACGUAGAUAUACAUAUUACACUACACAUACAGCACAUACCAUAUACAAAGAGCACAUACUUAGAUACCCAUGGUACUACAUACAAUCACUGCACACCUAGAAACUCACCAGUUCACUACACACACAGAGUAGAUACUUAGAUACAUAUAUACCAUAUUAUACAAACAUACAUGUGCAAGCACACAACACACACCUAGAUUCACAUAUGACAUGCUAUACAUAGAAAACCACAUUCACUUGGCACACAUAUAAAAUACACACAAUCCACAAUACAACAUCGAGGCUAUAUAUUUCAAUACAUACUCUACACAACACUACAUAAAACACACAUCCCAACAUACACAUUUACAUCACAUUUCUCCCAUGCAUACAUACAUUUCACUCCACCUACACCACACAUACCAUUCACCUAAAUGAAUAAGAAAAAUCAGACACACAGACACAUACACACACACACACACACACACACACACAUACACACACACACACACACACACACACACACACACACACUGUAAUGGCCUUCACAUGAUGCACACCCUUCUUUUGAUUUAUUUAUUUAUUAUUUAUUUUUUCUCUCUCUGCAGCAUGAAGAUCCACUAGUUUCUCUUCUCAAUUCAGUGUUAUUUUCAUGAUGUCACCUAUUGUGGUUUGCCCUGGAGUUAUCUGCAUUUUGAUGCUAAUUCCACUGCCCCAAGGACUGCUGCCUAGUCUCAUACUCAGGAAUCAGAUUUAAGUGUAAUUGAGUGUGGGGCAGCUGGUCUGGGCCGCCACGGAGUUGAGAUGUGUUUCCGCCAAGAUAUCUAGCAGAUAUUUUGGGGCACUGUGGUGCCCAACCUAGCAAGGGAAGGGGCUGUUUGCCUCCAGUAUCCAGAAUGAAAGCUUUCAACUGCAGCCUGCUACAAAUUCCACCCUCACAGUCAAGCAGCAAUUAGAACUGUUUGUAACAGUGACAGCCAGAGAAGCCUUUCAAGCAACAAGGCAGAAGCCUGGGGAGUCAGAACAAGAGCUGGUUCAUUUGAAGGGGACUAUCGCCACACAGCAGCUGAUCCUGGGAUAGCAGGCAAUUUGGGGAGCAUGGCUGCUUGGAACUUUGGAGAAAGGCCUAAUCUUGAUUUUGCUGGAAGGAAAGAAAAUAGGAAGCCAUGUUUGGGAUAUUUAAAAAGAGACUAUCCACUCAAUAUAUGAAGAUUCUGGUAUGAAAUACAGAGGAAUAAAUUGGGAGCAUCACUUGCUAAUGUUGGAUUUGACACAGAGUUGCAGGGACCAGAAAACAUCUUAGAAUAAUAACCGUGAAAUAGAGUCCUGUUUACAUAUCGGGGGAGCAUAUUUAAAAUAAUAUUUUUGGCAUCUUUGUCUGUAAUACAGUCUUUUGAUAUUGGUAAAUUAUAUUGAGUUCAAUUAAUAUCUUGGUUGGAAAUGUUAUGUUCGGUAUGACAAUUUUCUCCCAGUUCUUUCUGUUUCUUGUUUUUCUUUCUUUCUAUUCUUCUAGUAUACACUUUUCAAAAUUAUAAUUGGAUUUUGUUCUUGAUUUAAGCAAUUAAAAAGAAAAAAGUGUCACUCCUGACAAGUAAGUUGUUUUUGGAGGCUAUCUGUUCUUCUCAAAUACACCAAGAAUCUCACUCCUUUCCCCAAAAGGCACUGAGCAGCUGUAAAAUACUGCAGGGGUUUUGAUGUUCUUAAAGAGAAGUAAUUUUCCUCCUUUGUUCCAGAGUAAUUAUUAAGUUGAGAUUCAAUAAAUAGCAAAGUACAGAUAGGUCUUAGGCAUUGCAUUGAAUAAACAUUUUGCUAAUUUUUUUGUGUUCACAUAUUUGAAUAUAUUACAAAUUUUAUUCUCUAAUAAAAAGAGUCAGGUUACCAAGCAGAACUGUGAACAAGCAUCUCUCAGAGGAAGCUGACUUAAGGCUGGCUGGUUUGCACAGGUUGUUAGGCUUGUUUCUGUUCAGCCUCCAGUGUGUUCUCGGUAGCAAAUAUUUCAAAUGCAAAAACCAAAAUCAAACAAACAAACAAAAACAUUGACACUUUUCCUCUUUGUUUUGUUGUAGAUGUCCCUCCCCCCAUUUAUUUUGCAAGUACACAACCCCUCUACCGCAAUUCUUUCUCAUGUCAGAGAUGAGGCCACACUUGACUGGAUACAUGGAAGAUCAAUUUGUUACAUCAUACUUCAACAUUCAAUGUAGCUUAAAAGAUAACUGUUAGUCCAUGUACUCACAGCUCUUAGGAAGUAUUCCAGCUUGCAGAACUAAGAGUGUGGCUAUUGGUGACAUGUAACCAAAACCAAAGCUAACCAAAAUGUUCAGGCUGAGAAAUGUAUAGCUCCAAGGAAGAAAGAUGGGGAGGAGGAAGAACAAAAGACAGAAAAGGAAAACACACACAGACAGAGCUUUGCCACUCCAAAUACCAAGGUUGAUAAUUUACAAAUAGAGUAUUACAUGUAAAUUACUUUUCAUUAUUCUUAUUCAUAUUUAAAAUGUUCCACAACCCCCCUUUUCCUCAGAUAGCUUCAUGAACCCUGCUUUGAAAGAAGGGCAUCAGAGUAAGUGGCUCCUGCUUUCUAUUUUGAGGGAUGCUUGCUUACCAACAGCCUAUUCGGAGAGGAAGCCAUAGGAGAGGCUGCAUGACCAGCCCAGUGACUAAGUCUUUUCACAUUCCUUUAGAAUCAAGCUGCCUGUCCUCUCCCAUUAAAAUCUAUAAGGUUCUUUUAAACAAAAAUAAACAUGCAAUCUUUGCAGCUUCAUAAAUUGAGAGGAGUCCAGACAUUAUUAAGCUGAUCCUAUGGUAAGUCAAUUCUGUGAAAAUAUGCACUCACAUUGGCUCCUUAGAUGGAGAAGAGAAGAUACUUGGAUGUUAAAUGUAGCUGUUGCCUAGUAAUAUGAUCUUCUUUGGAGACAUUACUGGAUUUAUGGUCUAUCUACCCCAAAGCAGUGUGGCUAUGACCUCCUAUGACAAAACACACAUGCCAAAGAGUCUUGACAUUUCUGGUUAAUAGAAGUGUUUUAUAGCAGACCGGAAGCAAAGAAUCCUGGGAAGAACAAGGGUAUAAUUCCAGAAAGUUAGGGCAUAUGAACCUGCUUUAUCAAUAUGUCACACUGAGACCUCGGAUUCUUUGCAUCCCUCAUGAAACUGUGAUUUGCAGUUAGGACAAGGGACAGAGUUCUGUUUAUAGUGAGGAUUUGUAGGAUGACAUUGUCAGCACCACAGGUUGCUACUUAAUGUAAGCAUUUGUAAUAUCUCUUCAGACAAUAUGCAAAUACCCUUAGCAAUUCUCUGCUCUUUUAGGUCACCUAUCAUGUACAGGGUUGUGACACAUAGCCAUAGUAUGGAAUGUUGAGCACAAGAGUCUUCUUAUAUCCCAAGCCUUUGGAUCCCUUGGCCUCCAGCAGUGGAAGGAUCUUUUAUCACCAUUGGAUCCUGUCCUGGAUACUGUCACCUCACUCAUGCUAGCUUUUCAUGAGAGAAUUCAAAUCAGCCUGGAUCCUGUGUGUCACUGUUCAUGAAUAAGCAACACAAAAUGAAAAUCUUAACUACUGUAGAACCAAGAAGAAUGAAGAAAACCUACAUGCCAAAAACUGCAUUGAAGAGUACUAGCCAGGUAUAUAUUUCACAUCUGAAAUCCAGGACUUUGGAAUGCAAAUCAGCAUGGGUGACACAGGAAUACCUAAGCUUCACAAACCAAAGUUGAGGCAGGAGCCCACAAAGAGUACUGACAUGGAUGCCUGUAAUCUAUAAGGUCAUAGUCUCAUCAGAGCCUAUAAUCCCAUAACCAGAGUAAGCAAAGACAUAAAACAAAACAAACAAGCAAAAUAACACUGACUGGAAAGAGAAAACCUCAGUCAAGACAGAAAAAUCCCACAAGUAAAUUAAAUAAAAUUAAAUUAAAAAUUACAAAAUGACACGAUUGCUUCUAUGAACGUUGGGGAGAAUGUUUAUUGCAGAUUUGAAGUAGAGCACACCCAGAGGCAUCCGGCAGGGUCAGACUGAACUGUGCCACGAAGGCAAAAAACAGAAAAAGAGAAGAGGGGAAGCAGGAGCCAAGAGGACGCGAGUGAGGCAGGAGACCAAGAGACACAAAGUUUUCAAAAUGGCUGUGAUAUAUAGGCAAGAGAACAUGGUGGACAAGACCCAGGCCAGUCUCUAGGCUGGUGAAUUUAGGGUACUUGGUCUGAUGGAAAGUGCUGGGAGGAUCUACAGGUACUAAGUGAUGCUGGGAGAAAUGGCAGGAGCUAUAGGUACUGAGAAAUGCUGGGAGAGCUUGGCGGAGUCACAGGUAAUCCCUGUUCAACACAGGCUUGUCAGCUUAAUUGGCUUUAUAAAGCAUAAAAUAAUGUUGCACUUGUGGGCUGUUUUGGUAGUUAGAGUUCACAUCCAUAAACAUGUGCUCAUGUGCACACACAUGUAUACAUGUAUGCAUGACUGUGCUCCCAAAACACAUACUUAUUUUACCAGGUGUUGAUGAUGAGGAUCAAUAAAAUAUGAGUCAGUUGUUUUAGCAGAUUCCAUAUUACUCCUCUCCAGAUAAAGAAAAUGCGUCACAGAAGACAGCUAAGUGGAUCAAUAAUCACACAACUGCUCCUGAGUGAAAGGGCUUGUACUCAGUCUUUUGAUCCUAUAUUCUAUUUCUUCUAAUACAUCAGUCUGCCUUUGAUAUUAUCGUACCUGAUUAUCAGGGAUCUCGUUCAAA
This is a non-coding RNA of Rattus norvegicus (Norway rat), 13902 nucleotides long. NCBI's taxonomy places the organism in Eukaryota, Metazoa, Chordata, Mammalia, Rodentia, Muridae. The record is from RefSeq and is a predicted model, not a curated record.